AUUUCAAAACAGCCACACAUUUCAAUGUUUUACUACCAUUACCGCUUCCAGCAAAACAACACUCAUGGAAUAAUAAACCCUAAGGAUAUGUUGCAUUCCUCAUGGUACCUAUACUACUGUAAAAAAGAAGCAGGUGUGGAGAUGAAGAAGAAAAAUGUUGACAACAUAAGGCAGAGAUCUGUGCUGAAGAUGCUACAAAGUUACUAUCUGAAACAGUGUAUUUAUUAAAGAAGCUACUUUGUUGCCAGCUUUGCCAGGAGUAAGAUGGACAUACCAUGGGUGCUGACUGCUCAUAAAUGAAACAUAACUUAAAAGGCUCAGGAAAGAAAAGAGAAGCAGCACAACGUCCACCCAAAACCUGAGCUAUUCCAGCAUUAUCCAGACUAUUUAAACAGGAGCUAGUGGGUGCCACAUGAGAAACGUCAGCAUGCAGCACUAUAUGACUGAGUUAGAUACAUAUCUGCAAAUAAACCGCCACUGCCUUUGUCUGUCACAGCAGAACCACAUUUCUGAAAUAAAUCAAGCAAAUGAAAAGGUAACACAAUACAGCAUGUGUCAGACAGUCUGUUUCCCGGAACUAUGAGCUCUUACAGAUCAGCAAGAUGAUACUUUGGUAUACAAAUUCUGAAGAAUUUCCUGUUAGAAAUAGGACACACAGCAGGAUUACUUCAUAUGCAUUAUUCUCUAAAUGUUCUGCAUAUUGCAAGUAUUUUAGACUGAGCAAACAAUUAUUACUUGGAAAAUAUCGUUUUCAAAGAAAUAUUUUACAGGUUCAUUCUGGAAGGUCCCACUGCAUCUUUGAUACUAGCAGAAUACAAGUCUCUGAACUCUGUUAUUGCACAAGACAUUUGGGGCUGGGGUCUGGGGCUUGGGGAACAAUGAAUUGGUAAACUGAAGCUUGAUAAAGAUGUGAUUGAUGAAAUAUGUUUCACUGAAAUGUGUGAACACCAAAGAACUCUACCUAAGGAAAUAUAUAUCACACUGGCUGAGACAUUAACCAAUGUCAUUUUGUUCCUCUUCUGCUGAAGACGAGGUGCAUUAUUAAACUUGGUGGGGGGGGACUACCAAGCUAACAAAAAUAAAUAAAUAUACAACCAAUAAAGUUUAGUUUUGCUAUGCCAUAUGGUCAGGCUGGGAAGUGUUUAUGAAGAGAACCUAAACACAUUGACAUAUCCAUCCAUUUAUUUAUAUAUCCUAUAAUGUUUAAACACUAGCUUCUAUACAUCAUUUACAAAGAACUGCUAAUGAUUUAUAGGACUGAGGUACCAAUUUGCAGACUAGAAACAUUUUUUUUUGCUGACUACUUUCUGUCAUUCCAAAAUCAGGUGUAAGAACCUGAUGGAGUGUGGCUGUACUGCAUGAAUUUUAUCAGGUGCAUCAAAGGUAACCUUGGGAAUGUAUGCCAGAUGUCUCAGUAAAGUCCUAUGGAUUUAAGAGUGUGUUGCAUUCUGGGACAGCCUGUCUGUGAUGUGGCGCUAUCAGCAGGGUACUGUACUGACAGUGUCUGAUAUACCACUGGUGAACCUGGAAACUCACAUCAAUGUUCUAGGUUAUUCCAUUUUCUACUUUCACACCAGUUUUGAUGCUAAUUCCCUACAUUCUGGGUAUGAGAGAUCAAGGGCACUGUUAUAACAACGGUUACCAAAACAAGAUGGCAAGAAGAAAUAAUAUAAGUAAACAGGUUGCAUUACUAGCUCACUACCGCUCAGUGCCUUAGCUGUUAUCCUUCAUAUAAAAUAACACAUGACUAGCUUCUGUGUAGUCCUCAGUUAUAAAGGUAUGCAUUUCCAUUAUUAAAUUAUUUUGCUUAUCCUGUCACUGAUAUGUUUCUGCAUUAAUAUGUGAGCUGUUAGUAGAAAUACUUCAUGCAUUGUUUUAUCUACAUUUAGUACACAAUCAUAAGCUACCCUUACUAGUUUAUAACUAGAUAAAGUUGUUCCCUUAAUAUUGCCUUAGCAUUCACAAACAAUAGACAGUUUAUAAGUAAUUGUCUAUAAUCCUGUCAUGAACAGAUUUUGAUAUACAUGAAAAUUUAAUAUCUGUUUAUAAUCAACACAACUACAGAAAAGAAACCAUUAGGAGAUAUUGUUUAUACUUCUGCAUGUGUACAAUUACAAAAUUGCCAACUCAGUUUAUUAAACUUAUUUUAUUAGAGCAGAGGGAGUUAUUCCUUACUGUGAAUGUCAUAUGACAAAUUUCAGGCAUUUUAAGAUGAUGUUCUUGGGAUGCUUGGCUAAUUGUCUAGCAGUUGUCUUAGAGGAUUAAGGAUAUGUUAACAAGCUGUUUCCUGUGGUCCGGUGAUACAAGGUUUGAUUCCCUCAGCUUCCAUUCCUAUCUGUGUGACUCUAACCAAGUCACUUAACCAGACAAUGCUGUUGGGCUGAGUCUGGAAAUGAUCAGUGCUCUACCCUAUAUAAACUAAUAAUAAUAAAUGAGUUAUGUUUUAGUGCUCAUUAGGACUUCACCGAUUGUAUUCAAUGUUUCACUUCUGUUUGAAAAUGCCCCACUUGUUAACAUAGAUUGCAGACUCUAAAGUUAGAAGACAAUCAAACAGUCUGUGUGAUUUUGCAGCUACUGGGGGAUUAGCAUAUCAGUUAAGGUGAUUACCUCACAUACACAAGGUACAGGGUUUGAUUCUCACCUUUCAAAGGAAAAUUGGAUAGGCUUAAAACAGCCUACAAGAGCAGUUAGCCUAGUACUUAAUUAUGAACCUUACUAUCUCCAAUGCACAUUAAAAAAGGAUCAAAAUGGUUGCAAUUGGUAACUAUGUGAUAACAAACCCAAGACUGGUAAGCCUACAAAAGCACGGCUUAAACAAGUAUUAAUACCAAGUUCAACAUUUUUGAUACUGUGACAAACAUAUGAGCAUGAUUAACCAGACUGCUAGUAAGAAAUAAUGGAUACCUACUACACAUUGAGAACAAGGCCUGUAUGCAAGCAGGACAAGUCUUGACAGUAUACUGGAACAGGUAUAGCACAGAAAUAUCUAAGCAGCUAACCGAGGUAGGAGAAGUGUAAGAGG
Protopterus annectens (West African lungfish) is the source of this 3022-nucleotide long non-coding RNA. RefSeq lists it as uncharacterized. The record is from RefSeq and is a predicted model, not a curated record. NCBI's taxonomy places the organism in Eukaryota, Metazoa, Chordata, Ceratodontiformes, Protopteridae. The transcript is spliced from 2 exons.